GACGAACGCUGGCGGCGUGCCUAAUACAUGCAAGUCGAACGGACAGGCCCUGCGCUUGCGCCUUGCUCGAUUGGCGCACGCGUGUGUAACACGUGUGUAUCCCGCCCCUGACAUUCUGGUAAAUCUUCGAAACUCCGGCUCUUAUCCCAUAUGAGAUCUUGCACCAUGUUGUUGGUUGGAAAGUUUCGGCGGUUGGGGAUGUACUCGCGGCUUAUCAGCUUGUUGGUGGGGUAGUGGCUUUCCAAGGCUUUGACGGGUAGCCGGCCUGAGAGGGUGACCGGCCACAUUGGGACUGAGAUACGGCCCAGACUCGUACGGGAGGCAGCAGUCGGGAAUAUUGCACAAUGGGCGGAAGCCUGAUGCAGCAACGCCGCGUGCGGGAUGACGGCUUUCGGGUUGUAAACCGCUUUCGCAUGUGACGAAGCGUGAGUGACGGUAAUGGGUAAAGAAGCACCGGCUAACUACGUG
RNAcentral lists this ribosomal RNA (468 nucleotides) under uncultured bacterium. RNAcentral describes it as "partial 16S ribosomal RNA". It matches the Rfam family "Bacterial small subunit ribosomal RNA", at positions 28 to 507 of the family's 1533-position model. The record is from RNAcentral.